CCAAGGUGAGCAUUUCAAAGUACGGAAGAAUAGGGAAUAUUUUGGCAUUCCACAAGCACUUUUCCUGAGUUUUUUCUGCAGUCCACAGAUCAUUAUCUUGAAUGCCUAGAUCAUCUAAGACCUUCCUCCAGGGUUUCCCACAAAAGGUCCCAUUUGAGUAGAUCAUUAUCUUGAAUGCCAAGAUCAUCUAAGACCUUCCUCCAGGGUUUCCCACAAAAGGUCCCAUUUGAAAGUGGAAUCUUUGGGUUAUCAUGGAGACCACAGUACACAAUAACUCUCUCAGCGCGUCCCACUAAAGGAACCUCCCAAAAGCAGUGACGAUCCGGAAGCAUAAAUCUAAAUGAAACCUUUGCUGUCAUAUC
Molecule: long non-coding RNA, 362 nt
Filed under: Nicotiana benthamiana
Lineage: Eukaryota; Viridiplantae; Streptophyta; Magnoliopsida; Solanales; Solanaceae
Description: long non-coding RNA (NBEN_LNC039619)
Source: RNAcentral